Molecule: ribosomal RNA, 384 nt
Filed under: Mycobacterium sp.
Lineage: Bacteria; Bacillati; Actinomycetota; Actinomycetes; Mycobacteriales; Mycobacteriaceae
Description: partial 23S ribosomal RNA
Rfam family: Bacterial large subunit ribosomal RNA
Source: RNAcentral
AUCCUGGGGCUGGAGCAGGUCCCAAGGGUUGGGCUGUUCGCCCAUUAAAGCGGCACGCGAGCUGGGUUUAGAACGUCGUGAGACAGUUCGGUCUCUAUCCGCCGCGCGCGUCAGAAGCUUGAGGAAACCUGUCCCUAGUACGAGAGGACCGGGACGGACGAACCUCUGGUGCACCAGUUGUCCCGCCAGGGGCACUGCUGGAUAGCCACGUUCGGACAGGAUAACCGCUGAAAGCAUCUAAGCGGGAAACCUUCUCCAAGACCAGGCUUCUCACCCAUUUAGUGGGAUAAGGCCCCCCGCAGAACACGGGAUCGAUAGACCAGACCUGCACACCCAGUAAUGGGCUCAGGGAACUGGCACUAACCGGCCGAAAACUUACCCACA